This 90-nucleotide transfer RNA is filed under the name Cyrtodactylus pubisulcus (Inger's bow-fingered gecko). Its description in RNAcentral is "tRNA-Cys". RNAcentral also lists the same sequence under 1 other name. Lineage: Eukaryota; Metazoa; Chordata; Lepidosauria; Squamata; Gekkonidae. The record is from RNAcentral.
AGCCCAAGUGAACGACACCAAAAUGCAAAUUUGGAGACGCACCCUAACAGGUGCCGGGGCUUCUCCCGUCUUACGCGAAACGGGAGAAGC